Long non-coding RNA from Oncorhynchus keta (chum salmon), 418 nucleotides. RefSeq lists it as uncharacterized. The record is from RefSeq and is a predicted model, not a curated record. The transcript is spliced from 3 exons. NCBI's taxonomy places the organism in Eukaryota, Metazoa, Chordata, Actinopteri, Salmoniformes, Salmonidae.
GUUAUAUCACCUCACACAGCAGGUGAAUACUGAUUGAGCCCACACUACUCAUCUAUUAUAACAGUGUUAUAUCACCUCACACAACAGGUGAAUACUGAUUGAGCCCACACUACUCAUCUAUUAUAACAGUGUUAUAUCACCUCACACAACAGGUGAAUACUGAUUGAGCCCACACUACUCAUCUACUAUAACAGUGUUAUAUCACCUCACACAGCAGGUGAAUACUGAUUGAGCCCACACUACUCAUCUAUUAUAACAGUGUUAUAUCACCUCACACAACAGGUGAAUACUGAUUGAGCCCACACUACUCAUCUAUUAUAACAGUGUUAUAUCACCUCACACAACAGGUGAAUACUGAUUGAGCCCACACUACUCAUCUAUUAUAACAGUGUUAUAUCACCUCACACAGCAGGUGAAU